Molecule: long non-coding RNA, 364 nt
Organism: Stegostoma tigrinum
Lineage: Eukaryota; Metazoa; Chordata; Chondrichthyes; Orectolobiformes; Stegostomatidae
Exons: 3
Source: RefSeq, a predicted model, not a curated record
CAGAUAUUUGGGCAUACCAUUCAGAUUGAGUUCUGAGAGAGUUCUACACUGUUGGAUGUGCUGAUUUCUGGGUAGGAUUUCGUCCAGGCUGUAUGUGACCAUUUGGAUGGUACACCCUGCUAAUACGUUGGUGGAAGAAGUGGAUGCUCUUGGAUGGUGCCCAACUUCUUGAAUGUUGUUUGAGCUUCGCCCAUCCAGACAAGAGGGGACUAUUCCAUCACACGUCUGACAGGCUUUGGAGAGUGAAUCUCCAUGUAAGCAAUGAUGCAUGAAUAAAGCGUAGUUUGCUACAAAUCUGGUCGUUUAACCAACUGAAUUGCAUCUGGAAUAAGAUGCCUGGCACUUGCCUUUAAAAUGAGAAAAG